UACGUAGGGCGCAAGCGUUGUCCGGAAUUAUUGGGCGUAAAGAGCUUGUAGGUGGUUUGUCGCGUCUGCUGUGAAAAUCCGAGGCUCAACCUCGGACUUGCAGUGGGUACGGGCAGACUAGAGUGUGGUAGGGGAGACUGGAAUUCCUGGUGUAGCGGUGGAAUGCGCAGAUAUCAGGAGGAACACCGAUGGCGAAGGCAGCUCGCUGGGACGGUACUGACGCUGAGACGCGAAAGCGUGGGGAGCAAACAGG
RNAcentral lists this ribosomal RNA (253 nucleotides) under uncultured bacterium. RNAcentral describes it as "partial 16S ribosomal RNA". It matches the Rfam family "Bacterial small subunit ribosomal RNA", at positions 524 to 776 of the family's 1533-position model. The record is from RNAcentral.